This 87-nucleotide transfer RNA is filed under the name Fidelibacterota bacterium. RNAcentral describes it as "tRNA-Leu". It matches the Rfam family "tRNA". From Rfam's summary of the family: Transfer RNA (tRNA) molecules are approximately 80 nucleotides in length. Their secondary structure includes four short double-helical elements and three loops (D, anti-codon, and T loops). Lineage: Bacteria; Pseudomonadati; Fidelibacterota. The record is from RNAcentral.
GCUCGGGUGGCGGAAUUGGUAGACGCGCAUGGUUCAGGUCCAUGUGUUCGCAAGAACGUGCUGGUUCAACUCCAGUCCCGAGUACGA